RNAcentral lists this ribosomal RNA (253 nucleotides) under uncultured bacterium. RNAcentral describes it as "partial 16S ribosomal RNA". It matches the Rfam family "Bacterial small subunit ribosomal RNA", at positions 524 to 776 of the family's 1533-position model. The record is from RNAcentral.
GACGAGGGUUCCUAGCGUUGUUCGGAAUCAUUGGGCGUAAAGCGGGUGUAGGCGGCCACGUAAGUCAGAAGUGAAAGCCCUGGGCCCAACCCGGGAAGUGCUUUUGAUACUGCAUGGCUUGAGUGCUAGAGAGGUCAGUAGAAUUCCUGGUGUAGUGGUGAAAUACGUAGAUAUCAGGAGGAAUACCGGAGGGGAAGCCGGCUGACUGGCUAGACACUGACGCUCAGACCCGAAAGCGUGGGGAGCAAACAGG